RNAcentral lists this ribosomal RNA (1453 nucleotides) under Bacillus pumilus. RNAcentral's name for it is "bacterial SSU rRNA". It matches the Rfam family "Bacterial small subunit ribosomal RNA". Lineage: Bacteria; Bacillati; Bacillota; Bacilli; Caryophanales; Bacillaceae. The record is from RNAcentral.
AANGGNUACACAAGNAGUUUGAGCCGGGCUCAGAAGGUCGUACCAGGGUACCCAGAUGUUUUCGGCGGACGGGUGAGUAACACGUGGGUAACCUGCCUGUAAGACUGGGAUAACUCCGGGAAACCGGAGCUAAUACCGGAUAGUUCCUUGAACCGCAUGGUUCAAGGAUGAAAGACGGUUUCGGCUGUCACUUACAGAUGGACCCGCGGCGCAUUAGCUAGUUGGUGAGGUAACGGCUCACCAAGGCGACGAUGCGUAGCCGACCUGAGAGGGUGAUCGGCCACACUGGGACUGAGACACGGCCCAGACUCCUACGGGAGGCAAGCCAGUAGGGAAUCUUCCGCAAUGGACGAAAGUCUGACGGAGCAACGCCGCGUGAGUGAUGAAGGUUUUUCGGAUCGUAAAGCUCUGUUGUUAGGGAAGAACAAGUGGCAAGAGUAACUGCUUGCACCCUGACGGUACCUUAACCAGAAAGCCACGGGCUAACUACGUGCCAGCAGCCGCGGUAAUACGUAGGUGGCAAGCGUUGUCCGGGAAUUAUUAGGCGUAAAGGGCUCGCAGGCGGUUUCUUAAGUCUGAUGUGAAAGCCCCCGGCUCAACCGGGGAGGGUCAUUGGAAACUGGGAAACUUGAGUGCAGAAGAGGAGAGUGGAAUUCCACGUGUAGCGGUGAAAUGCGUAGAGAUGUGGAGGAACACCAGUGGCGAAGGCGACUCUCUGGUCUGUAACUGACGCUGAGGAGCGAAAGCGUGGGGAGCGAACAGGAUUAGAUACCCUGGUAGUCCACGCCGUAAACGAUGAGUGCUAAGUGUUAGGGGGUUUCCGCCCCUUAGUGCUGCAGCUAACGCAUUAAGCACUCCGCCUGGGGAGUACGGUCGCAAGACUGAAACUCAAAGGAAUUGACGGGGGCCCGCACAAGCGGUGGAGCAUGUGGUUUAAUUCGAAGCAACGCGAAGAACCUUACCAGGUCUUGACAUCCUCUGACAACCCUAGAGAUAGGGCUUUCCCUUCGGGGACAGAGUGACAGGUGGUGCAUGGUUGUCGUCAGCUCGUGUCGUGAGAUGUUGGGUUAAGUCCCGCAACGAGCGCAACCCUUGAUCUUAGUUGCCAGCAUUCAGUUGGGCACUCUAAGGUGACUGCCGGUGACAAACCGGAGGAAGGUGGGGGAUGACGUCAAAUCAUCAUGCCCCUUAUGACCUGGGCUACACACGUGCUACAAUGGACAGAACAAAGGGCUGCGAGACCGCAAGGUUUAGCCAAUCCCACAAAUCUGUUCUCAGUUCGGAUCGCAGUCUGCAACUCGACUGCGUGAAGCUGGAAUCGCUAGUAAUCGCGGAUCAGCAUGCCGCGGUGAAUACGUUCCCGUGCCUUUUACCCCCCGCCCNUCACACCAACCAAGUUACCCCUUGAGUUUGUUCCUGGGUCAACAAGUUGUAACCAGGUAACCCGUAGANU